ACCCACAUCCUUGAGUAUGUCUCCUGAGACAUAUGUAGGAGUCUGUCUGGGGUAUAAAUUAGGAUGGAAUUGCCGGAAGUGGAUAUGCGCCUUUGACUUUACCAGGUUGCUUCCAGGCUAUUCUGCACAUGAAAAUUUCCUGUGCCAGAAGCUUGGUGUUCAGUGUGGCAAAGCUGGAAGAUGGAGAACUUUUUAGAGGUCCUGCCUACUGGUAGGUGGUGAAAUCACUAACAGCCGUGCCCUUGGGAUUAACAUAGUUCUUUAGGAACUCACAAGUUCAUUUGUCACAAGUAUGGGUUGUUACAAGAGCCAAGUGAUUCAGCCUUUCUGCAUACUGGAUUCCUUUCUGUUUCUCUGCUAUGAUGGAAUGCAAUGGGGGUGGGGAGCUUUGUCAAAGGCCAAACAGAUAUGAUCACCUGAUCAUGGACUUUUAGCCUCCAAAACUAUACAUUAAAUAAACUUCAUUGUAAAAUGUCCAA
Long non-coding RNA from Mastomys coucha (southern multimammate mouse), 479 nucleotides. RefSeq lists it as uncharacterized. The transcript has 2 exons. The record is from RefSeq and is a predicted model, not a curated record. Lineage: Eukaryota; Metazoa; Chordata; Mammalia; Rodentia; Muridae.